GUGCAUGCCGGGAUUGCAGCGCUGCAGCCCUGUGACCAAAGAGACCCAGAACGAGUGGCAUCCCAGGAGCCUGUGAGGGGCUUGCAGAGACUUACUGGUUCCAGUAAAAGCCCCAUGUGGAUGCAGUAAUGCUGCCUGAUGGUCCUUGGCUGUAAUAACAAACAGGUCACCAUUGGAGAAGAUGCUCAGGAAGAACAAGCAGCUGCAGUUAACCCUGCUGAAGGUGGCAGAUGGGUCCAGGCUCUUGAGCUCGUCUUGGACAUGGAACAUGUGGAUGCAGGCUUUGAGCAGUGUGUGUAGCUCUUUCAGGAAGGAAGGGAAAAGGGUGUUACCAGGGUCCUACACCCUGGAACUACCCUUCUCGGACAGUAAAUAGUUGGCAGGGUGCGGUCAUGUGUGAUUUUAGUUUUCAACUUUAGGCUUUCAUUUUCAAAUUCCACAAUAAACACAUAAGGUGGGGUUCUGGUUUCAACACACACACACACAAACACACACACACACAUUCUCUCUCUAUAUAUGUCUCUUUCUGUCUCUCUCUCUCUCUCUCCCCUUCCUGCUAGUGGGCAAGGAUCCUUGUUAACAAGAAACCUGCCAAAUGCCUCUGAAGCACAGGCAGGUCUUGGGGAGCCACAAGGCCAAUUCCUCUUUGUACACUAGUGUCUUGGGUAGGCAUAGCCUUCAGAGCUUUGGGGCCUCCACAACCUUGCCCUGCUGUCCAGGGGCAGCCCUCAUGCAAGGGUGUCCUAAGAACUUUUCCGGACCCCCAAGUUCAGCACUGUCUUCCAAUGUGUGUUUCACGAUAUUUUAAUGGUGGUUCUUUUGGGAAAAAGGAAAGGUUCUGUGAUCAAUUAUGGGACACAAUGAGCUACAGAUCUUUUUUACAAUUGCUCUUAACAAGCAGGUAGACCCGGAGAACAUGAGUAGCUUCCCCGUAGGUAACUUGAGUGCAUGAGAACUUUUGCUUUACAACCAUGCCAAUCUCACCUCAGCAGUUGGCAGUGCUGCACUGGGCAGACUUCCCUACUCAAAGGCUGUGAAGCUUUUCUUUCUUUUUUUUUAAUACAUUAUUUUUCUUUAUAGAAUUUUAUUGGGCUGAUAUCAAGCCUGGCUUGGUACUGCCUGAUAUUUUUUAGAAUCAGAACCAUGUUCUUUAACUCACGGGUUGUGAAGUUAGAAGGUGCUGGUGUGACAGCCUGAGAAGCAGAGCUGCGCUCCACUCCCACCUUCAUGUGCUCAUCUGACGCAGAGCCCUCAGAGGAGUGGGGAAGUGCUUCCUGGCCCUGCUUCUGGGGGCCGUCCCCAAGGCAGUCCACCCAACUUCCAAAACAGCCUUCCCUCACGCACAGCCCUGAGCCCUCCUGCCCCUCCUCAAUGUUGCACAUCUCUGAGAAGUGGUCCAGCAUGUUGCUGUCCAGGGGCAGUGAGAAGCAGGUGCAGUGACACAUGUCUUCACGGACCAUGAGCACCGGGUAAAUCUCCUGCACAAUCUCCUUGGGGGACACCUUCAGGGAGAAAGCCCCAACAACUGAUGGCAUGUCACAUGGCAGAAAGCAAUGACUUACCCUUUCCCCAUCCCAAAGUCCUGAGAAUCAUGCCAAAAAUCCUUGGUUUCCCACUUUUUAAAUAUUUUAAAAUUAAAAUCCCAGGUUCCGUGUAUACAUGCCAUGCCCACCUGCACCUGUGUAUGUGUAUGUGUGUGUGUGUGCACGCGCGCAGGACUGAGCCUGGCCCAUUGACUAUUCCUGUAGACCGAGAAAAAUCCCUUUGCAGAGUAAGGGGAGAUGGAAGAAACGAGGGAGAGAAAAUGGCAGCCUUGCCUCCUCCCUUGCCCAGCGCUAAGGUCCCCAGGGCAAAUGGCUUUUGCCUUCAACUUCACCUUAACAACAUACAAACUAUAUCCAUUUUUACUUCCCUCACUUUCUUAACAUUACAAAUUGUAUCCUUAUAUAUGAUGUGUAUUUUCACAGAGAUUUAAGAAUUUAAUGCACCAUUAUAGUAGAAAAUUGUAUAUCUGUGUAUAUAUUUACAUUGAACAGAGAGCUUUAUAUUUUCAUGUGGUUUUAUGAUGCGGUCCAGCAUCAUUUAAUUUUUCAACAUAAUUAACUAUCUUUAGCAUUUUUUUUCCUAGGGUUAUUCUAGUAGUUAACAACCUUAGCUUUUUUAUUUUAAUCUUUGAAAGUCUUUAUUUUUUUCUACUUUUUGAAAUACAAUAUUUCCCAGAUCAAUUAUUAUUGGUUGCUAGUAUUUUUUGUUUCAUCGCUUUGAAAUGUGGACAGUUCUCAGCAUCCCCGCUUUUUCUCCGAAAUGUUUAUGCCAUUUUCUCCCUCUAUUCUUUUUAAAAGACUCUAUCUCUGAAUGUAUUGGUCUACUUGAUGGUGUCCAGUAAGUCUUAUAUUUCACCCGCAUUUUUCCCAUUCUUUAAAAUAUUAGUUUCCAGGACUCAAUAUUUGUGAAUAAUAUAUGUUCAAUUUUCUUUUUUCUGCUCCACUGUUUGCUGUUGUGUCUCUGUAGUGAAUUUAUAAAACUCAGUUAUUAUAUUCUUCAACUCUAUGAUUUCUGUUGCGUUUUUAAAAAUAGUUUUUAUCUCUUUGUUGACAUCUUAUUUUGCUCAAUCAUUAUUUUAAAAUUUC
Pan troglodytes (chimpanzee) is the source of this 2630-nucleotide long non-coding RNA. RefSeq lists it as uncharacterized. The transcript is spliced from 3 exons. NCBI's taxonomy places the organism in Eukaryota, Metazoa, Chordata, Mammalia, Primates, Hominidae. The record is from RefSeq and is a predicted model, not a curated record.